CUGGUUUGCGAAGAGAGAUCUUGACAGAACCGUUCUCCACAAGUUACCAGAAUGAUUAUGUCGACUAUUUUUCUCAGUUUGCUGCUGACUUUCUUAUCAUGUGUCCAAUCGGAGAUUAUUUUGACUCAAAAAGUGGCGGAAACCGGCCAUCCUGGAGGCACCCUAAGACUGACCUGUAAAACCAGCGGGUUCAAUCUUGGCAACGACUGGAUGAUCUGGAUCCGACAAGUUCCCGGACAGGGCCUGGAGUGGCUGCUUGCAUACAAAAGUUCGUCGAGCAAUAACUAUGCCCCAGGGUUUAAAGAUCGAUUUACUGCGUCCAAAGACACUUCAAACAACAUCUUCGCGUUGGACAUGAAGAGCCUGAAGAUCGAAGACACCGCCAUCUAUUACUGUGCAAGAGGCCACAGGGAGAGCUAUCUUGAUUACUGGGGACAAGGGACCAUGGUGACGGUGACUGCAGUGACAACAUCUUCUCCCACACUUUAUGGCCUCAUCUCCUCCUGUCAGCAACACAACAUCGAUGGUUCUGUGAUCUUUGGUUGCUUGGCAAUGGACUAUUCCCCUGACGUCACCAAGGUGACCUGGAAGAAAGGUGGGAAGCCGAUCACGACUGGAUUGAAGACUUACCCAUCAGUGAGGAACAAGAAGGGAACUUAUACCCUAAGCAGCCAGUUAACCGUAGCUGAGUCAGAGGCGGAUUGCAGCAAAAUCUACUGUGAAGUUCAACACAUUGGGUCAGAGGAGAACACUAAAAUGCCAUGUCCAAUUAUUGUCCAUCCAACUCUUCUCCUAACUGUGAGUUCCAGUGAAGAAAUUACGAACAGCAAAUUUGCAACCAUCGUCUGUUCAAUCAUCGAUUUCCAACCAAAGUCAAUCUUAGUGACUUGGUUGAAGAAUGGACGACCCGUGGAUUCUGGCUUCUUCAACUCUCCUGUGUAUGAAACGAACAAGAACUUCUCAGCGACCAGUCGGCUGAGAGUCCCUUCUAGUGAAUGGUUCAACAGUGCAGUCUAUACUUGCCAGGUCACCCAUGAAGGGCUCAUUCAAAGUGGAAACAUCACCGGAUUCCAGGUUACGGAGUGCCGUGAUUACACAGUUAAAAUACUACCGCCGCCAAUCGAACAGGUCUUACUGGAGGCGACGGUGACGUUGACCUGUGUUGUAUCCAAUCUUCCUUUUGGAGUCAACGUCACCUGGACACAGGAAAAUAAGCCUUUGAAAUCAGAGAUUGCUGACCAAGCCAGAGAGGAUCCCGACAGCGUGAUCAGCAAAUUGGACAUUUCUACUGAAGCCUGGCUGAGUGGGGUUACUUUCUACUGCGUGGUGAACCAUCAGUAUCUACCGACUCCUCUCAGAGACUCCAUCCACAAGGAGAAACCAAUAAAUCCACUGGAGCCAUCAGUGUCUGUCCUCUUGCCACCGACGGAAGAAGUCUCCACUCAGAAGUUUGUCUCCCUCACUUGUUUCGUGAGACAUUUCUCCCCCCGUGACAUCUUCGUCAAGUGGACAAACAAUGAUAAGCCGGUGAAUCCCAGUAACUACAAGAACACCGAGGUGACGGCAGAGAGCGACAACGCCUCCUUCUUCAUGUACAGCCUGUUAUCCAUUGCAGCGGAGGAGUGGGCCAGCGGUGCUUCUUACUCCUGUGUGGUGGGACAUGAAGCGAUUCCAUUGAAGAUCAUUAACAGAACAGUUGACAAAUCCAGCGAUUCAAUAGAUCACCCUCGGAUUGAAGACUAUGAGGAUGAUAACAGCAACAUCUGGACGACUGCUUCCACAUUCAUCACCCUGUUCUUCCUGAGUAUUUUCUACAGCGCUGCCAUCACUCUGGUGAAGGCCAAGUGAAUAAAUUUUGGAUCCUGUACAAUUUCCUCAUCUGUUUGUUGAGCCUUCUGAAAUCCAAAUCUACAAUCUAUCCUGUUGUUGACUCUAACAGUGCGAUAACUUCAGUUUAUGAGUGUGUACCUGACAAAAUAAUUGAUGGCGUUUCCGUUUUUUUUGGUAUCGUUAAGAAAACUAUGUAUGAAAUACUUUGUAACUUCCCAUUUUUUGAAGACGGCUUGUAUUUUUUUUUUGUCGUUGUUGUUGUUCCUUAUUCAGAAUGGUGGCCUGACCUUUAUUUUGAGCUUGUACUUUCUCUUUCUGAUGAUUGUUACAGCUCAGAGCACGUGCGUCUUCAUUCCAAUGUGCUAUCAAUUCAUUAUAUUUACUUACAUUAACUUUAACAUACAUUUUUGGAUAAAAAUGCUGUCUGAAAUAGUUAAUAAAUCAUUAAUGAAUAUAUACAAA
Molecule: non-coding RNA, 2292 nt
Organism: Rhincodon typus (whale shark)
Lineage: Eukaryota; Metazoa; Chordata; Chondrichthyes; Orectolobiformes; Rhincodontidae
Source: the annotation of a RefSeq genome assembly